GCAAGUCGAGGGGUAACAGGGAAGCUUGCUUCCGCUGACGACCGGCGCACGGGUGCGUAACGCGUAUGCAACCUACCUUUAACUGGGGGAUAGCCCCGAGAAAUCGGGAUUAAUACCGCAUAACACUGUGAUAUGGCAUCAUAUUACAUUUAAAACUCCGGUGGUUAAAGAUGGGCAUGCGUGACAUUAGUUAGUUGGUAGGGUAACGGCUUACCAAGACUACGAUGUCUAGGGGUUCUGAGAGGAUGAUC
Molecule: ribosomal RNA, 251 nt
Filed under: uncultured bacterium
Lineage: Bacteria
Description: partial 16S ribosomal RNA
Rfam family: Bacterial small subunit ribosomal RNA
Source: RNAcentral